This 413-nucleotide ribosomal RNA is filed under the name uncultured bacterium. RNAcentral describes it as "bacterial SSU rRNA". It matches the Rfam family "Bacterial small subunit ribosomal RNA", at positions 9 to 416 of the family's 1533-position model. The record is from RNAcentral.
GAGUUUGAUCGUGGCUCAGGACGAACGCUGGCGGCGUGCUUAACACAUGCAAGUGGAGCGACGAACCAGGGCUUGCCCUGGGGCAGAGCCGCGAACGGGUGAGUAACACGUGGGUAACGUGCCCCGAUGACUGGGACAACCCGGGGAAACCCGGGCUAAUACCGGAUAUGCCCCCUCACAUCAGUGAGGUGUGUAAAGGAAGCUUCGGCCUCCGCAUCGGGAUCGGCCCGCGGCGCAUUAGCUUGUUGGUGAGGUAACGGCUCACCAAGGCAACGAUGCGUAGCUGGUCUGAGAGGACGAUCAGCCACACUGGGACUGAGACACGGCCCAGACUCCUACGGGAGGCAGCAGUGGGGAAUCUUGCACAAUGCGCGAAAGCGUGAUGCAGCAACGCCGCGUGCGGGAAGACGGCC